RNAcentral lists this ribosomal RNA (207 nucleotides) under uncultured bacterium. RNAcentral's name for it is "partial 16S ribosomal RNA". It matches the Rfam family "Bacterial small subunit ribosomal RNA", at positions 568 to 774 of the family's 1533-position model. The record is from RNAcentral.
CGUGUAGGCGGCCGAUUAAGUCUGGAGUGGAAGUCCUGCUUUCAAGGUGGGAACUGCCUUGGAGACUGGUUGGCUUGAGUGCGGAAGAGGUAAGUGGAAUUCCCAGUGUAGCGGUGAAAUGCGUAGAGAUUGGGAAGAACACCAGUGGCGAAGGCGACUUACUGGGCCGUAACUGACGCUGAGGCGCGAAAGCGUGGGGAGCGAACA